Molecule: long non-coding RNA, 9326 nt
Organism: Cavia porcellus (domestic guinea pig)
Lineage: Eukaryota; Metazoa; Chordata; Mammalia; Rodentia; Caviidae
Exons: 2
Source: RefSeq, a predicted model, not a curated record
CAAAGCUGCUCCCGCACUACAAGUCAUCUUCGAGGGGGUGCAAGUGAAAACUACAUUCCUCACUUCUGAAUGAGUGAUUAGGGUGGAUUAGGUGAUUGGGAUUGUUGAGUUCUAAGGUCCUCUUCCACUGGGAACUUCUGAUUUAACUGCAGAGAGGAACAAGCCCUGAAAACACGGAUUACAGCCGGGGUUGCUCAAGCAUCGCGGCAGGGGCAGCUUUUCAUUGGUUUGUAAAUUUUGGGCAAAGAGAGAACAAGCAGUUGGAGAGAAACUACACUGAAGAUUCUGUAUUUGUUAGUACUAGGAGUAUGGUGAGAGGAGUGUCAGGAUCGACGCAGGUAAGGUCAUGGAGCACUUGGGCACCUGUGAACUAUUUGCUUGUAUCUUUCAGGGCAGAACAAUACACCCGUGCGGUCACUACAAGGGGAACACAAGCGCGCCAGAAUCGGUGGAAGCGCCGUCCUAGUGUUCUCACCGCAGCCACGAUCACCUCGCUGAAGCAAACUUCAGGUAUAGCUAUUUACUUUCCUGUUCAAGAGUUUGCACCAGCGCAGAGUCCUUUACCUGACACUCGUGGCUUUGAAUAGUGCAGCCACUACUUACCUCUCGAGCUGAAUCUGCCACACAGAACUACAGUACUCUUGACCCCUACAAACCCUACACUCGUCAGCUUGCUGCACAGGUUUCUCGACGCGUGGAACGCCUGGAACCCGCUCUCUCUGGACGAUCCCUACGACACACAUCGCGUCCAGGCUCACCGCCAUGGUCUCUGCCCCAGGCCGGAUGCCUGCCCUUGAACUUCAGGUCGGACGGGCACAAAAACUACAUUCAACCAUGAGCAGGGUUAACACCAUCUCUCAUCUGACGCAUAGCCACCCUUCAUUGUUUUUCUCACUCUUCCUUAUCAAAACUUACCCUCAACACCGUUUAUGCAAAUGUUGCAGUAUGUAAUCAGAAAAUACACUGAGGUAAAAGCGGCUGAGAAAGCAUGGAAUGCCAAUCCUUUACUCACCUUUAGCUACUUUGAGAAAAACACCCCCCUUCUUUCCUCUAGUCCUCUCCCUCUGUCGUACCCCUCCAUCCCGUUCUUUCUUCCCUCUGCGCUCCCCUCCCUUUCCAAAAAUGGUGGGUGGCAGGGUACACACAAUUGGAAGAGAAGAUCAAAGGAUCAAGAUAAUCGAGAGUAUUCCUUGGGCUUCUUUUGCAGGCCCCUACAGGGUCCAGUUUUUGUUGGUUUGUUGUUGCAGUUUUGUUUUGUUUUGCAAAAGCUUCUUCGCCUUGAUUCAAAUUGAAAAAAAAAAUCCUCACAAAGCCAUCGCACUCAAAUCUAAUACAAAUUGAAUCAAAUUCCCAACAUAGUUUGUCACAAAUGUGAUAAACUCAAUCCAAAAUUAAAAGGAAGAGGAUAAUGCUAAUUUUCCUUUAAAAAAUGAAGGCGAGGGUGGGGGGAUUUGAUUUAGGAGAUAUAAAUACAGUAUUGAUUGUUUAGCUAGAGUAAUUAAAACAAUGAACGAAUGGGUCAGUCGAGGGUCAGAUAUAAUGGAAACCUAAUUUAUGAUACUGUAAUCCUUACAAAUGCAUGGAGAAUAGAUAUGCACAGAAAAGAAAUUACAUCACUCAUUCCUACACAAAGCAAUCCCAUUGGAUUAAAAUUUUAGAUGCAAACGGCAUGAUGAACAUACCUGAGAUCCAAGCACCCUGAGAGGCUGAGGCAGAGGGUGUAAAUUCCAGUCCAGUCUGGGCAAUUGAGCAACUUAGAUCCUGUCCCAAAAUGAAACAAAAUAAAAAUGUUAGGGGUGUAGAGCACUGUGAAGGUCUUGGGCUCAAUCUCCAGAACGGGAGGCGAGUUCAGGGGGUGAGAGGUUAAGUGCAGAAAGCAUAAUUUUAAGACUAUGAGGAAAAUAAAAUUUAGAACUUCUGUAAGUCAAAAUAUGCUAUAAAGCAAGUGUAAAGAUGAGACAUAAACUAAGUGCAAGGACUCACAAAGCAUAUAACCAAAAAAGGAUAACCAGAACAGGUAGUUUACUCUGAGAAAACAGUGAUUAGAUGUUCAUCUCAGUGGUCAGGGAAAUGCAAGUUAAGACCACAAAAAAGCCUGGUACAGGGACACAUACCCGCAGUCCUAACUACCAUGCUCUAUAAACUGAGGCAGGAGGAUUUUUCCAGACCAGAACAAGACAAAAACAAAAUAAUAAUUUUUAAAGUUCUCAGUUAUAUAUUAUUGUUUGCUUACUGAGUUGACAAAAAAAAAGUUAAUACUAAGCUUUAGCAAGGAAAUGGAGCAACUAAAAUUCUAAUCCAGUUGCAAUAGGAAAAUAAAUGCUGACUAUUUACCUUUUCUUAAAAAGGCAUGCCAUAUAUAAACUAGCACAUAUACCUACCUCCCUGUAUCUAAGUAUGUAUCAAUCCACCAUCCAGAGAAACCCUUCAACCAAGAAAGACCUCAGUGUAUUCUUUGUACCAGCAUAAGCAGUAAAAUGCACUGACUGUGGGACACUGAGUGGCAAAAGUGAAUGAGCCCCAUCUGUGUACACCGACAUAGAUAACUCUUAAGACAUAAUGCAAAGAUACCCACUAUGUGAUUCACCAUAAAACAAGUAGAAUUAAAUUAGAUGCGAGAAUAGAAUUCAAUUGUAUUCUUGUGGAGUCCAAUCUUCAAGGUGUCCCAGCGCCUUGCCUUCUGGUGUACAUACCUGGUAUACACCCCACUCCCAUAUUGAAGAGAUAUUCAAUAUUCCUAUUCAGCAAUCAAUCUGCAAACUAAUGUGACUUUAGUGUCUGAGGUUCCACCUUCCCAGGGAGGCCUGCAGCCACUUAGACUCCUGUAAUCUGGAAUAGCUUCUCAGUCUUUUAUUCUCUUUUAUGAUAUUGACAUUUUCUUAAGACAGCAUUCCUCUCUCUCUCUCUCUCAUAUAUAUAUGUAUAUUGUAUAUACAUAGAGGUGGUUGCAUUGUUCUGGUUUUGUGAGACAGGGUCACACUAUAUAGCUCAGGCUGGUCUUGAACUCACUAUGUAGCCCAGGCUGGCUUCAGCAUCUGAUCUUCCUGGCUCAGCCUCCUGCUAGUAUUACAGGUGUAAGCACUAUCACCAGUUUAUCAUUUUUUAAAAUUAAGCCAUCUUUGCAGGUAAAAAGUGACAUUCCAUUGUGAUUUUAAUUUGCAUUUCUCUGAUGGAUGUUGAGUAUCUUUUCAUGUGCUUACUGGUCAUUUACAUAUCUUCUUGGGAAUACUGUCUGUUAAGAUCAUUUGCCCAUCCUUUAAUCGAACUGUUCUUUGUUUCUUUUUCUUUUUCUCACUGAAUUGUCUUUUUAUACAUUCUGGAUAAACGUUGCAUAUCUACUAAUUUAUGACACUUUCUCCCAUUCUGUUGCUUGGCUUUUUUUUUUCCUUGAUAAUGUCCUCUGAAGAACAAAAAUUUUUAAUUUUGAUAACAUUUGUGUGUUUUUUGUUGUGGUCUCUUGUGCCUUUGGUGUUGGGUGUAAGAAGGCUUGGCCUUACGUAAGGUCAUAAAGAUUUACUCCUACACUUCUGUCUCAGAGUUUCAGCUCUUAUGGUCAGAUUAUGAUAUAUUUGAGUAAAUUUUGCGUAUAAUAAACGUAGAUCCUUUUGCACAUAGAAAUAUACUGGUCUCAGCACCAUUUGUUGAAAAGACUAUUCUUUCUUUUCCCAUUGACUUGUCUUUGCAUCACUAUUAAGUAUUAAUUGGCCAUAAGAAUCAAAGUUUAUUUCUGGACUGUCAAUUUUAUUUCAUUAAUCUCUGUCUGUUUAUCCUUAUACCAGACCACACUGUCUUGAUCAUUGUAGCUUAUAAUUUUUGAAAUCAGGAAAUGCAGUUCUUCCAAUUUUGUUAUUCUUUUUCAAGAAUGUUUUGGCUAUUCUGAAUCCCUGGUAAUUUCCUAUGAAUUUGAAGAUCAGAUUAAUUUCUUCAAAAAUAGCAGAUAGAAUUUUAACAGAAAUUGUGUUGAUUCUGCCAAUUAAUUCUGUAAGUAUUGCCUUCCUAAUAAUAUAUUUUUAAAAAUUAUUUUUAUUGGUACAUUUUAGAUAUACACAAUGAUAACGUUCAUUGUAGGAAAGUCAUAGCUUUACGUGAUAUAUCCUAAUUCUUCUUUUCCUUUUUAACGUUAUGAAAUACUGGGGCUGGGGACUUAGCUCAGCAACAUAAGCGCCUGCCUUGCAAGCGUCCAGUAGUGAGUUCAAGCCCCAGUAUUGAUUUAAAAAAAAAAAAUGAAAUACUGUCCUAUAAAUGCAGGCAGCAUAAGCUGUCUUCCAUUUAUGUAAGUGUUAAUUUCUUUCAAUAAUGGCUUGCAGCUUUUAUAGUAUAAGCAUUGCACUUGUCUUCUUAAAUGUCUUCCAAAUGUCUCUCUGUCUCUCUCUCUCUGUUUCUCUCUCUGUCAAGCAGUAGUGGGCAUGGAAGCCACAGCCUUGCACACAUUUGGCAAGUGCUCCUGAGCUACAACCCAACCAGCUUCUGCAUUCUUUUUUUUUUUUUUUAAGCCUUUUGCAUUCUUAACUCCACCUCAGCAUCUGCUUCCCAGAGGACCCAACUGAUACAUUUGUAAGUUAGCAUUGUUUUUAUAGGAUAUCAACCGAUCUUUUUAAUAAUGGUGUGUCCAUAUAAAUAGCUCAAAUUCAUUAAUAACAAAAUACACAACUUUCCAAACUGAUUACCUUUCCAAAAUAUAUGCAAAACUUGGUAUGGCUCUGAAUCUGUAAGGAAAGAGUAAAUAGCUUGUUCUACUUUGGUUAUAUUUUUUGUUUGUUUUGCUUGCCUUUGUUGUUUGUUUGUUUGUGUCAUGGUCGCACUAUGUAGUCCCAGGUGAUCAAACUCAUGGUCUUCCUGCCUCAGUCUCACUAGCAUUGAAAUUACAGGCCUUCACACGCAUCCAGCUUGAUUAUGUUUUUUCUGUUUUUUGUUAUUCUUUUGGUACUGAGAAUCAAACUCAGCACUCAGGCUUGCCGGGCAGGCACCAUACCACUGAGCUAUACCCCUGGACCCACUAUGUCUUUUAAAAAUUGAAUUUAUGUUUGAUAAAUAUGACUUAGGCAUAUCUGCUCUUGGUUUCUAAGAGACACUCCCUUUAUUUUUGCCCAAUAAACUACCAACAAUUCUUUUAAAAAGAAAGAGGCAAAAAAUAAAUAUGAAAACAAUAUCACAUCAUUCCUUGUGCAACAGCUCAUUUCCCUAAGUCUUUGAAAUUUAUUCGUAUGUAUGAGAUUUUGAAGAGAGCACCAGGAAUGCAGUUUCAUGAGGAGGGCAUUAAAGGCUUUUCUCCUUGGGGAAAAAUAUUAUUGCUUCAGAAUUUUUUUUUCUUAACUGAAAAAAUUGCCUUGAUUUAUGGAGGGCAGAGUUUUUGUUUUCUUCACUUCAACACAGAAAUUAAAACUAAGCCAAGCAAACUUGGGAAUGGAAAACAGUAAUGACGAAAGAAGAACUGAAUUUUAACUUAGCUAAGGAAAGCAAAAAGGGUUUGGAUUUUUGGUUUUGGUUUUGUUACUAGGACUUCAGCGGAAGUCAUUCUCAGGAACUAUUUUGUUUUAGUAUUUUUAAUUGUUCAUUGAUUUAGUUCGGUGGAUCUACUGUGAUGCUGAACCAGGGACAGGAAAGCGACGGGGAGGUUGUGUGCUGAACAGAUCUAGAGCAUUUCUCCUAAAUUUAUUCUUGGUUGUCAUCAACUUUUGUUCUCCUUUGAAAUGAGAUUGUAAAAUUAUACUUGUAUCUGCUCAUUAGUGGGUUAGAGAAAAAGCACUGCUUUUUGUAUAAUUGGCUUAAGCCUGGCCACCUGACUGUACUCUUUUAUUGUUUUCAAUAGUUUCCUUUUAAAAUAUCUCUCAUUCUCUAUAAAUUCAGUCAUCUUGUAUAAAAAUUCACUGAUUCUGCCUCCAGCCUUUUCAUAAACGCAAGGGCCCAAGCCUGAGGAUUCAGGAGCAGUUUCUGGACCCCAUAAGCACUCUGCCUUGACCCAGAUUAGGAAAGCAGCCAUCACUGAUGCCUAAAGAUGCAGAAUCAAGAAGUCCUCUGCCAAAUUAAUAAGCUGGCUGUGGACCAGGCCACCUCUGCCUCCUCUGCGCCAGUAAAGCCGAUGCUGUUUGCACCAUCUCACGCCACAGAUGACUCAGUUCCAAGUCAAAGCCUCGUCUGAGUGCUUCUGUUGGUGAUAUCCAAAUCACACCUUGGGGCCUCGCUAAGGAGACUCUGAAAAAUACCAUUUUUAAGCUUCUAUCUGCAUUCCUUCUAAACUAUGACAAUAUCCAAUAUCUGCCAUGACAUUCUUUAGCAUACCUAGAAAGUUUCCUUCUGUUUUUUAAAAAUUUUCUACAAACUACACAUAAUAUGAAAUUCAUAUUUUAGCUAUUUGUAAAUGUGCAGUUGAGUAGUGUUUAGUUUAUCCACAUUACUGUACAAGGAAUCUGGAGAACUCUUUUCAUCUUGCAAAACUGAAACCCUGAAUCCAUUAAAUGACUCCCCAUGUCCACUUCUGUCAGCCUCUGGUUAACACCAUUCUUUCUGUUUCUUUGAAUUUGACUAUUCUAGAUAACUCAAAUAGAACCACUCUGGACAGUCAUGUGUCACCUAAAGACAGGGAGGUGUUCUGGGAAAUAUGUUGUUGGGCAAUUUUGUCAUUGUUCAAACAUCACAGAGUAUACUUCAAUACAGUGACUACAGCUUCACUGGGUGUCAUAUUAUGGGGCCACUUUCCUAGUGGUCUCUCUUUGAUCAAACUGUUGUUAAAUGGCACAUUUGUCUUUCUGUGACUGCGUUAUUUUCCUGAUCACAACGUCCUUAAAAGUCAUCCAUUUUGUAACAUGUGUCAGAAUGUCCUUCCUUUUCAAGGCUGAAUAGUAUCCCAUUGUAUGUGUUUACCACAUUUUAUUUAUGCAUUCAUGUGCCAGUGAAUGUUUGGGUUGCCUCUACCUCUUACCUGUCGUGAAUAAUGCUGUGAUGAACCUGGUUGUAAAAACCUCUUAGAGGCCCUGCUUUCAUUCAUUUUGUGUAUAUACCAAGUCUUCUCUUUCUUUUGAUGUAAAAACUUUGAAAAUGAAAGAAUUCCCAGAUUCUAUUAAACUAUUUUUCAGCGUCUCUGGCAGGUCAUAGCUUUCUUGUUUUUUUUUUUGUUUUUUUUUUUUUGUCUUUUUCAUUUUUAUCAGUACCGGGGAUCGAACUCACGACUGCCUGCUUGCAAGGCAGGUGCUUAUGCCGCUGAGCUAAAUCCCCAGCCCUGGACUGUAAUUAUCAUAGAAUUUCUAGUACUACAUUUUGUGUAUGUGUGUGUAAUGUCAUUUUUCACCCUCAUUCCUUUAGCAUGUAUCAUAAGAUACUUUAGUUUAAAUCAGUACUAAGUAUUCUUAAUUUUAUAUGAUAUCACUUAAUCUUUUUUUUCAGUACUGAGUAGCCCAGGGACUUACACAUGCUCUGCCUCUGAGAUACAGCACAGCCCACAUCAUAGCACGUAAGUGAUGAGAGGAAAACAUUACCCAUGAGUUUUACCACCUUCUGAAGAAGGGAUUGUUGCAUUUUUUGGGUUAUUUUCAGAACAGUUGUAUUGUGUUAGGCCAAGCUGUGUGAACUUGUUAUUAUUCUAUUUAAAGAUGAGUUAUCGUUUAAGGAGAACAUAUAUGUGUCAGGUUGGCAGAGGGCAGGCUUGUGGUGGCUAAUUUUAGACAUCAGCCUGACUCGGGUAAGGCAUGCCCAGACAACCAGUAAACAUUAUUUCUGGGUAUGCCUGUGAGGGUGUUUCUGGGAAGGACUAGCAUUUGAACUGGUGCCCUGAGUAAGAAAAAAUCUGUUUUAACCCAGUGUGAGUGAGUACCAUCCAAUUGUUGGGGGUCCAGAUACAACAAAAAGACAGAGGCAAGAUGAGUUUGAUCUUCCUUCUCUGUGAUACCUGUUUACUCCUGCCAUUGGACAUGAUAAUCCCAUGUUCUCAGGCUUCUGACCUCAGGAUUUAAACCAGAGGCCAUCUAGUCUGCACUGAAGAUUCUCUCAUCAGCUGUCCUCCUCCAGGUCCCACCAUGUUCUAUGUUUUUUUUUUUUUUUUAAGGUAGUAAAAUACAACAGAACAAGACAGAACAAAGCCAACUGAGGCCGUGUAGUGAAAUUGGUACAGAACCUCACCGCAGGUUACCGGGGUAACAGCAAUAAGUAUGACAGUGUAUCUUGUUAUCUUCACAGUGGUUGUUCUUUCAAUCACAUAUAGGAAAAUAAAAUGAAAUACAAAACAUUACAGAACUUAUCAAAACAGAAUAUUGAAUAGAGCAGUACCAUUAAUCAGAAUAAAGCAAAACAGUAGUAAAAAUAUUUGCCUUCAAAGAGAAGGAAAUCCCCCUUAUUUGCUAUAGUGCAUAUGGUCAGCCUCCCAAGAGAUGCUCAGAUCUCUGGUUCCCAUUUGCUAACAGGGGCAGGGGAAGUGCGAUGCUUGGCUCACUAUUGCUUACCAGGGAGGCCAGCUGUUGCUUGGUUUACCAACAUCCUAAGUUCCAACAUGGUGCACAUCUCAGGAGACGCAGGUGGCUCUCCCCCUGGAAGGGCCACAGUCUGCCACACUGCCGCUGCUUACCAGGGAGGUGAGCCGCUUGCUUGGUUUCCCAGGGUUCUAAGUUCCAACAUGGCGCAGAUCUCAGGAGACGCAGGUGGCUCUCCCCCUGAAGGGGCUGCAGCCUGCCACACCACAGCCACUUACCAGAGAGGUGAGCUGGUUGCUUGGUUUCCCAGCACCCUAAGUUCCAACAUGGUGUGGCUCUCAGGAGACGCUGGACGGCUCUCCCCUGGGAGCAGCCGUAGCCAAUGUUCUAUGGUCUUUGGAUUCAAGGUUAUACUUUUGGCUGCCUUAGAUCUCCAGCCUGCAGAUCUUAUACCAUAUACCUAUUUACCAUCCAUAAUCACACAAGCUAAUUCCCGUAACGAAUCCCCUAUCUCUUUAUGUGUUUAUGGUUCUGUUUCUCUGGCGAAGCCUGGCUACUACAGUUUGAUGGGGUCCGUAUCCUCUUUCCUCGAACCUGAGCAAGAUCUUUGUGACUGCCUGGAGGUACAGACUGGAUAUAAAAACACAACACAGGUCUCUCUGAACACAUCAUCCAUACUGUAAGAAAACUCAGAUUGACCCACCGAGAGACACCUGGAGGAGCCUUGACCAUGCGCAUGUUUCCCAUCUGACCACCUAGCUGAGGUCCUAACCAAUGGCCAGCAUCAAGAGCCAACCAAGUGAAUGGUGCCACCUCCUGAUAAUUCUGUUUCUCAGCCAUCAGGGCACUCAAGACUUGAGUCUUCCCAGCUGAAGCUGCAGACAUUGUAGAACACAGAUAAAUUGUCUCUGCUGUGCUCUGUUCUGA